RNAcentral lists this ribosomal RNA (401 nucleotides) under uncultured bacterium. RNAcentral describes it as "bacterial SSU rRNA". It matches the Rfam family "Bacterial small subunit ribosomal RNA", at positions 28 to 420 of the family's 1533-position model. The record is from RNAcentral.
GACGAACGCUGGCGGCGUGCCUAACACAUGCAAGUCGCACGGGACCGGGGGCAACUCCGGUUCAGUGGCAGACGGGUGCGUAACACGUGAGGAACCUGUCCAACGGCGGGGGAUAGCCGGCCUAACGGCCGGGUAAUACCGCGUACGAUCGUCCGGGGGCAUCCCUGGGCGAUGAAAGCAGCCGCAAGGUUGCGCCGAUGGAGGGCCUCGCGGCCUAUCAGCUAGUUGGCGGGGUAACGGCCCACCAAGGCGACGACGGGUAGCUGGUCUGAGAGGAUGGCCAGCCACAGUUGGGACUGAGACCACGGCCCAGACUCCGUACGGGAGGCAGCAGGUGGGGAAUAUUGCGCAAUGGCCGNAAGGCUGACGCAGCGACGCCGCGUGUGGGAUGACGGCCUGGU